This is a long non-coding RNA of Bubalus bubalis (water buffalo), 575 nucleotides long. RefSeq lists it as uncharacterized. The transcript is spliced from 2 exons. The record is from RefSeq and is a predicted model, not a curated record. Lineage: Eukaryota; Metazoa; Chordata; Mammalia; Artiodactyla; Bovidae.
AGUAAAACUGGUGAAAUCUGAAUAAAGUCUGUAGUUGAGAUUCAUUUGUACUGAUACUAAUUGUGUACUCUGUGCUCUGUGCUAAGUCGCUUCAGUCGCGUCUGACUCUCUGUGGCGGCAUGGACUGCAGCUCUGCCCGGCUCCUCUGUCAUGGGAUUCUCCAGGCAAGAACACUGGAGUAGGUUGCCAUGCCCUCCUCCAGGGGAUCUUCCCAACUCAGGGAUGGAACCUACGUCUCUGAACAUCUCCAGCUUUGGCAGGCACUUCCUGUUCAGGAAUCGAGAGUGCCUCCCUGCAGUCUGUAGGGAGAAGGCACACACCUUGGUCUGCAUUCUAGGGGACCGCUGCACGUGGCUGCAGCAGCUCAGGCUCAGUUGUUCGUCACUCUCCGCGUACCUGGCCCUCUGCGCCUGCCAAGCCUGCCCAUGACUCCCAGCCAUUCCUGUUUGCUGUGAGCCCUGGACAGACAGUCCCCGCUCUGCUCACUGGACAUUUACUCUCUGUCCCCUUUAAUGUGAGUUACAUUUUCAAGCGUCAUAGGUCAUCCUGCACAAUAAAUUAUUAUGGGGAUUUGA